RNAcentral lists this ribosomal RNA (428 nucleotides) under uncultured bacterium. RNAcentral's name for it is "partial 16S ribosomal RNA". It matches the Rfam family "Bacterial small subunit ribosomal RNA", at positions 354 to 796 of the family's 1533-position model. The record is from RNAcentral.
GUAGGGAAUAUUGGGCAAUGGGGGCAACCCUGACCCAGCAACGCCGCGUGAGGGAAGAAGGUUUUCGGAUUGUAAACCUCUGUCCUAUGGGAAGAAGGAAGUGACGGUACCAUAGGAGGAAGCCCCGGCUAACUACGUGCCAGCAGCCGCGGUAAUACGUAGGGGGCGAGCGUUGUCCUGAAUUACUGGGCGUAAAGGGUGCGCAGGUGGCCUGACAAGUCAGAUGUGAAAUACCGAUGCUUAACGUGGGGGCUGCAGUUGAAACUAUUAGGCUGGAGUGCAGGAGAGGGAAGCGGAAUUCCUAGUGUAGCGGUGAAAUGCAUAGAUAUUAGGAGGAACACCAGUGGCGAAGGCGGCUUUCUGGACUGUAACUGACACUGAGGCACGAAAGCGUGGGGAGCAAACAGGAUUAGAAACCCCGGUAGUCC